This 253-nucleotide ribosomal RNA is filed under the name uncultured bacterium. RNAcentral describes it as "partial 16S ribosomal RNA". It matches the Rfam family "Bacterial small subunit ribosomal RNA", at positions 524 to 776 of the family's 1533-position model. The record is from RNAcentral.
UACGGAGGAUGCAAGCGUUAUCCGGAAUGAUUGGGCGUAAAGCGUCCGCAGGUGGCUAUGUAAGUCUGCUGUUAAAGGGCAAGGCUCAACCUUGUAAAGGCAGUGGAAACUACAUGGCUAGAGUGCGUUCGGGGCAGAGGGAAUUCCUGGUGUAGCGGUGAAAUGCGUAGAGAUCAGGAAGAACACCGGUGGCGAAGGCGCUCUGCUAGGCCGCAACUGACACUGAGGGACGAAAGCUAGGGGAGCGAAUGGG